GUUAAUGUAGCUUAUAUUAAAGCAUAGCACUGAAAAUGCUAAGAUAGAUUUUAAAAGAUCUCAUAAACA
This 69-nucleotide transfer RNA is filed under the name Notophthalmus viridescens (eastern newt). Its description in RNAcentral is "tRNA-Phe". It matches the Rfam family "tRNA". From Rfam's summary of the family: Transfer RNA (tRNA) molecules are approximately 80 nucleotides in length. Their secondary structure includes four short double-helical elements and three loops (D, anti-codon, and T loops). The record is from RNAcentral. Lineage: Eukaryota; Metazoa; Chordata; Amphibia; Caudata; Salamandridae.